Molecule: ribosomal RNA, 490 nt
Filed under: uncultured bacterium
Lineage: Bacteria
Description: bacterial SSU rRNA
Rfam family: Bacterial small subunit ribosomal RNA
Source: RNAcentral
CUGGCUCAGGAUGAACGCUGGCGGCGUGCUUAACACAUGCAAGUCGAACGGAGCCUAUCGAGUGCUUGCACUUGAGAAAGCUUAGUGGCGGACGGGUGAGUAACGCGUGGGUAACCUGCCCUAUACUGGGGGAUAACAGUUGGAAACGACUGCUAAUACCGCAUAAGCCUACAGUGCCGCAUGACACAGUAGGAAAAACUCCGGUGGUAUAGGAUGGACCCGCGUCUGAUUAGCUAGUUGGUGAGGUAACGGCCCACCAAGGCGACGAUCAGUAGCCGGCCUGAGAGGGUGAACGGCCACAUUGGGACUGAGACACGGCCCAAACUCCUACGGGAGGCAGCAGUGGGGAAUAUUGCACAAUGGGGGAAACCCUGAUGCAGCCGACGCCGCGUGAGUGAAGAAGUAUUUCGGUAUGUAAAGCUCUAUCAGCAGGGAAGAUAAUGACGGUACCUGACUAAGAAGCACCGGCUAAAUACGUGCCAGCCGCGGC